Long non-coding RNA from Equus caballus (horse), 1723 nucleotides. The record is from Ensembl. Lineage: Eukaryota; Metazoa; Chordata; Mammalia; Perissodactyla; Equidae.
GAAAAAUCACAGCCGGCAACCCUUCGCUCCCUGACCUCAUCUCCACAAAGCUCGGCCCCUAAUUGCCUCCGGCUUCCACCGCAGCCGCCCGGGCAGGAACCACCUGUGAACCGACACCUGUUCACCGAUUCUGCAAAUUAUGUACCAGACCUCGUUCCUGCCCUGGGAGGAUGACAGUGAACUGGAUGCACGAAGUCCUUGCCGGCAUGAAGCCCGCAUUCUGGAGGGAGUGCUAGGGCGAUGGGUCUCAGCACUUUUUAUUUUAUGAAUAAGUGACUCUUUAUGCAGAUACGUCCAUUUCCACCCCCCGUAAAGACUGUGCCAGACUGAAAGCCAGAGGCCCCCAGUGUGAUCCCAACGACAGAGGUGUAUGUGGGAAUGGGAGCCCUAACAAGGUGGUGAAAUGGUAUGGAGGAAGAUCCAGAAGAUGAUGGAAGUCUGGAGAGGUCUGGUCAGCAUUGAGUGCUGCCCUGUCUGCUGCUUCAGGAAGAGGAGGUGAGAAGCUGCACAGCACUUUUGCCACCUCAUGAGCCAGGAGGUCGAGAGCAGGAAUCCAGGCCUGCCAAGGAAAUGGAGCUCCCAGUUCUUUACAGGAUUUUUUCCUGGGAAGCUGAAGUGCUUUAAAAAAUACUCAAUCAUCACUAUCAGCUUUUCCCAAAAUUCAAUAGGAGCUUUGAUCUACGCUCACGUUUGUGGUAGACACACUCGAGAAGUGGCCCCCGUGACUCCCUUCCCCAGUCCUGGAGUUCACACCCUCGAGUGUGGGAAGACCUGGGACUUCUUCUAACCAACCGACCACCACACAGAUGGCCAGAUGUGCAAGGUUACAGCCACAUAAGACUUUAGCAUCAGUUUGGCUGGAGUCUCGCUCUCUCUGCCUUGCUGGCUUUGAGGACGCAAGUGAUCCUCUUGGAUAACCCCGUGUGGCAGGAACUGGAGGGUGCCUCUGGGGCAGAAGGGGGGCCCGGCUAACAGCCAGUGAGAAACUGAAGUCUUCAGUCAAAUGCUUGCAAGAAACUGAAUUCUUCCCACAACCGGGGUAGGCUUGGAAAUGAUCCUCCUGCAGGCAAACCUCAGAUGAGAACACAGCCCGUCCGACACCCAGAUUCCUGCCUGGCUGAGACUCUAAACAGAGAAUCCAUCUAAGCUGUCCCUGGACUCUAUUUCUUAUUGACACAUGAAAAAGCUCAUGGGAGACUGUGUUUCUAAAAUUGGAACAGAAUAACCAUACCAAGUACUGGCAAGGAUGUGGAUCAAGGGCAACGAUCAAGGGCAACGCUCACACACCGCUUGGGGAGACGCAAAAGUGUACAGCCCCUCUGGGAAACAGGGCUACCGUUUCUUAAAGGUUAAACAUUAAAGCAACAGUGAGAUACCCCUCUACUCUUAUUAAAAUGGCCCAAAUCUGAGACAAUGACAGCAUCACAGCUGGCAAGGGUGUGGAGCAACAGGAACUCUCGUUCGCUGGUGGUGGGAAUGCAAAAUGUGCAGCUACUUUGGAAGACAGUUUUUGGUGUUUUUUACAAACUUAACAUAAUCUUAACAUAGGAUCCGGCACCCACGGUAUUUACCUUGGUAUUUACCCAAAUGAGCUGAAAAUGUGUCCACACAAAAACCUGCACACAAAUGUUUAGAGCAGAUUUAUUCAUAAUUGCUCAAACUUGGGAGCAACCAACGCACCCUCCAGUAGGUGAAUGAAUAAAUAAACUCUGGUACAUUGAAA